ACGGAGGGUGCGAGCGUUGUCCGGAAUCAUUGGGCGUAAAGGGCGCGUAGGUGGCCAGGUAGGUUCGGUGUGAAAGCUCGGAGCUUAACUCCGAAAUGUCAUUGAAUACUAUCUGGCUGGAGGGUCGGAGGGGAGACUGGAAUUCUCGGUGUAGCAGUGAAAUGCGUAGAUAUCGAGAGGAACACCAGUGGCGAAGGCGAGUCUCUGGACGACACCUGACACUGAGGCACGAAAGCUAGGGGAGCAAACAGGA
RNAcentral lists this ribosomal RNA (253 nucleotides) under uncultured prokaryote. RNAcentral's name for it is "partial 16S ribosomal RNA". It matches the Rfam family "Bacterial small subunit ribosomal RNA", at positions 525 to 777 of the family's 1533-position model. The record is from RNAcentral.